Molecule: ribosomal RNA, 294 nt
Filed under: uncultured prokaryote
Description: partial 16S ribosomal RNA
Rfam family: Bacterial small subunit ribosomal RNA
Source: RNAcentral
UGAGGAAUUUUGCGCAAUGGGAGCAAUCCUGACGCAGCAACGCCGCGUGGGUGAUGAAGGCCUUCGGGUCGUAAAGCCCUGUCAGGUGGGAAGAAUGUCCCGGAACUGAACAGGUUUCGGGAGUGACGGUACCACCAGAGGAAGCACCGGCUAACUCCGUGCCAGCAGCCGCGGUACUACGGAGGGUGCAAGCGUUAUUCGGAAUUACUGGGCGUAAAGCGCGUGUAGGCGGUCCUGCAAGUCUGAUGGGAAAGCCCCGGGCUUAACCCGGGAAGUGCAUUGGAAACUGCAGGU